Long non-coding RNA from Passer domesticus (house sparrow), 852 nucleotides. RefSeq lists it as uncharacterized. Lineage: Eukaryota; Metazoa; Chordata; Aves; Passeriformes; Passeridae. The transcript is spliced from 3 exons. The record is from RefSeq and is a predicted model, not a curated record.
ACUCCACAGCGCUCAGAGCAGGCGACGGGACAGGACGGGACAGAGUGGUGCUGUGAGAAGCCCCUGCACAGCGCACUCAUUCAUACCUGACCCGGAGCUUUUCUGAGGUGUUGUUCCUGCAGCUGACCUCAAGGCCAGACUGUGGGACUUGCUGACCUGAGUAAUUUACCAGGAAUCUCCUGUCAUUGUGGCAGGAGCGCCCAAGACUAGAGUGCAGGACUUGCUGUCCUGCAGCUACCCUGAGACCUCUCUGUCUCAGAAAUCUUCAAGGCACAACUGAAAUUGCUGACUUGGCAAUAUCCUGAGGCAUCUCUCUAGAAGGUGCCUUCAAGGCUGGAAGGUGGAAUGGCAGGCAGAUUUUUCAGCCUGUUCAAAUGCUUCCGGGGGAAAAAUAAGAAAGGCCCUGGAGCUGCUUCAGGAGAGCAACUUGAAGAGCCAGAGCAGAUCCAGACACUGCAGGAUAAUGCAGCCGUGGAGCGCACACAAGAGCAGCAAUCCAGCCGUGGCCGCUUCCGCAGAACAGCACAGAUGUUCCGAAAAUUCCCGCACAUUCGGCGUAGAAAGACCAACACCACAGCAGCUGAGGGCCCAGCUGAGCCUGACUCGGGGCUGACCCAGCUCCAAGCAGAGCCUGAUGUCAGCCCAGAUUCAGUUGGGCUCUCGCAAGACUUGGACACCUCAGGGACUGAAACCUGGCCACAGGCUCUUCCCACAUCAGUGACUGAGGAUGGAGUCAUAAAAAACACUGACAAUGAAGAGAUUGAGGCCUUGAAAAAUACUGGAGCCAUGCCCACUCCCCCUAAGAUUUGUGCUUCCACUGUGGAUUUUUUCCAGGACAGUGCUGUUCCUUAU